UUUAAAUGCAGCCAUAUUUUUCCGUGCUUAACUUUAAUCAUCCGUCUUAUUUAAAAAAAUUUAAAACAUAAGUCACGCAUAAAGUAUUAUUCAUGUUUUAUCAUCUCAUAACUACAAAAAUACUAAUUAUAAAAAAAUUAAAUAAGACGGACAAUCAAAGAUGGACACGAAAACUCAUGGUUGCACUUAAA
MicroRNA precursor from Oryza sativa Japonica Group (Japanese rice), 191 nucleotides. It matches the Rfam family "MIR812 microRNA precursor family". Lineage: Eukaryota; Viridiplantae; Streptophyta; Magnoliopsida; Poales; Poaceae. The record is from Rfam.